UGUUCAACUCGAUAAUUCUCACUGGGCUGAGUUGGAAUUGUUUCGAUUCACUGAAAGGAGUUUUAGUGAUAUUGUUGAUAGUGAUCAAAAUAAAUCUCAGAAUAGAAUCUAUGGAGUCACACACAUAAGAGGUUGUGAUUGAUCGGAUAGCUAGAUCGUGAUUAUUGAAUCACCGGAGGACAUAAUUGUCAAUAUGUUGAUAAUUGGACUAAUUUAUAAUUGUUAUAAAUUAGUGGUAUUGAAGUGUAAAUGUUACAAGAGAGGACUUACUAAUAGUUAGUAAAUUAUAAGAGGACUUAUGUGCAAAUAUUGCAUUAUUAAUUUGAUAUAAUCAAAUUAAUAUAAAGAUCGAAUCAAAUUAGAAUUUGAUCGAUCUAACCAAUUAAGGAAAGGAUAAAUUUAAAUCUAAAUUUAUACUUAUCCUUAAUUGUCAUUAUAUUAUUAAAAAAAAAAUUAUAUUCCUUUAUAUAAUAUACGGGAGUUUUUAGAAAACCUUAGCCGUUAUCUCUCUUUUCCUCUCUCUUCCAUAUUCUAGCAAGAACGACGUCUAAUGAUGAUCACAUGCAUUGAUAUGGACUAGUAACAGCAUGAAGAAAUCUAACAGAACUACCAACUAAUUAAGUUUAAAUAAUAUUCCAGAUUGAAGAAUGAGUUGGAGUUCUACAAAUUCUGAAUAUGCACAGAGAGUUUUUUUUUUGGGAUAUUGCUUCAUAGGGUUAAUUACAUCAUUAGUCUCCAACCUUUACACCAUUUUUCACUUAAGUCUCCAACCUUUUCUUUCCAAUCAAUUUCCAUUCUCUUGAUUUUAAAUUAUGUCCCGGCCAUUAAAAAAGUAGUUAAAAUUAACGGACUCGCCAUGUAAGCACUUACAUGGCUAGCUACAUAGCUUUUUUUUGCAUGUCAAUUUUGAUAUCUAAACUUUACAUAUUUUUU
RNAcentral lists this long non-coding RNA (933 nucleotides) under Ananas comosus (pineapple). Its description in RNAcentral is "long non-coding RNA (ACOM_LNC036666)". The record is from RNAcentral. Lineage: Eukaryota; Viridiplantae; Streptophyta; Magnoliopsida; Poales; Bromeliaceae.